UACAGAGGUCUCAAGCGUUGUUCGGAUUCAUUGGGCGUAAAGGGUGCGUAGGCGGCGCGGUAAGUCGGGUGUGAAAUCUCGGAGCUUAACUCCGAAACUGCAUUCGAUACUGCCGUGCUUGAGGACUGGAGAGGAGACUGGAAUUUACGGUGUAGCGGUGAAAUGCGCAGAUAUCAGGAGGAACACCAAUGGCGAAGGCAGCUCGCUGGGACGGUACUGACGCUGAGACGCGAAAGCGUGGGGAGCAAACAGG
RNAcentral lists this ribosomal RNA (253 nucleotides) under uncultured bacterium. Its description in RNAcentral is "partial 16S ribosomal RNA". It matches the Rfam family "Bacterial small subunit ribosomal RNA", at positions 524 to 776 of the family's 1533-position model. The record is from RNAcentral.